UCUGUAUCGUUCCCACAUUCGUUCCGUUUGUAGAAUCCAUUCACAAUACUCAGGUUAGGCUUUAAUCCUUCGUUUGUUGUAUUUUGAUUUUCCAUUGAACUUCGUCUUAGUUCAGAAGUUGCUGAAAUUGUUUCACCCAUUGCUGGUUUAGAACAUUGAAGUGAAGCAUUUAAUGUCGCUGCUUCUGUCAGGAUCUCCUCCUCCAAAUCUCAGUUCGAGCUCAUCGCCUCAGUAACGUCACCUCUCUCCCUCAUUUAUUCUGUUUUCGAAUUAGGGAUUUCUCAAAUGUGUUUCAUUAACCAUGCUUCACGCCUUUCUAGCAUUGCUAUAUCACUCAUAUAUUACACAAAUUAAUAAAUGUAGGUUUGCAUUUACUAAAAUAAUUCAAUUUCCUCAAUAAAUGCAUUCAUAUAUUGAUGUGAUUUAUUAGGGAGAAAAUCAGACAAAAAGAUAAAAAUUUAUUGAAAACUAAGAACAUAAUUCAAUUUGUUUUUUUUAAGUAUUUGUUAAUAAGAUAAUAAACUAGUUCCAGUAUAUAGUCAUGUAUCUACCGGAGAAUGGAAAUAAUAUAUUUCCAAGGCUUCUAGUAAUUUGGUGGCGAUUUUAGACGGCUAAUUGCUAAAGCAGUGUUGGGGUUAUUUGGUCGAGGGAGACAAAUAAUUUGAAAUAUGUGUAGGAAUUUUGUAAACAUCCACAAUUUUUCAGGAAUUCAGUUUCUGUAAUUGUUAAAUUAAUACACUUCGCAUAUUAAAUUUUGGAACUUCUGGGUAUCAUAGUUAUGGGAAAUGUUUAGGUCGCCCAUUGGCUGUUAAUGAAAACAAUUUAUGAUUUUUUUUUUCACAAGACAAUCACAUAUAUUUAUCACUUAACUUGAAUUCUUCACUUUGGGAAGCCAUUUAUUUCUUUGGCUGAAUAAUUGUUAACCCAUGUUUAUUACACAUUCACUAAGACAAUUCAAAUGCUUCAAGUAUCUAUGCCGAGUAGCAAUCUCUCAGGCCCAAUUUGGUUUAUUCAACCUUCAUUAAACAUGAUCAUGGAAAAGCACAUGCCCCCAUCCGAUUAAGAGAUCCCUUCAUACCCUUUAGAGGGAGUGAGGUUUACAUUCUUAUUGCCCAAAGAGCUAAAAGCUUCAAUAGAUUCUUAUGAACAUUAUCUCAUUAACUCUUGAGCUAUUCUGACUUCGAUGAAGAUCUUGCUCCUGCAUCUAGAACAACAAUUCAAGGUCCAUUAUGACUUAAGAAUCGAUUUCCAGCUGAGAGUACAAGAGUUCAAUGGGACAUAAUCAACAUUUGGACAACUUGGACUCAUAAGUUUUUUCUUAUGGGGUUUUCUUGGUCCUAACCCAUGUGAUUGAGAAAUGGAAGAAUAAUAAUAGAGAAAUUGGACCCAUAUCAAUCUAAUAGUUUGCCGUAUGCAAGUGUAGUUUAUAAGAAUAAGUAGACCUUUUUUCCCCGAAAACACGUUAAUGUUUGACUUCAGUUUAUAAGUUUCAGUGAAUCAAUUUAUACGUUCAUGUUCACAUGUGGUUAAUUUUUUCUAUUUAACUUAUUUUUCUUAAAAAAAUAUUAUUCAGAGUUUAAGAUAAGAUGUUUAAUUUUUACUAGAGGCAACGUAAAAUUGAUUCUAGAUAAAAUACAUUUUUUUAAUGCUUUUAAGAUGUUGACUCACCAACCUAGCUAGUAGUAAACGUAGUUGUUAGUUGAAACUUUGACUCACUUGACGUAAGUAAACCUGUCUCAUUGUUUUUGGUGGGUGAAGGAUGAGUUGAUCCAUUUUGCAUUCAUAUGAUAUAAAGAUAAACAGAGAAAGUAGUAUUUAGAAAUAUUGAUCAUAUAAUUUAAUCACAUUGAGUAAUAAAAUAUUUGGAAGACACUAGUGAUAAGCUAUUUUAGAAACUGAGUUGUAUUUCUAAACUAUCGUGCAAGGAAAAGGAUCCUCUCUAAACUAUUGAGGACCUCUCCCAUAGUUGGCCUAUCCGUACUUCUACCAGCCAAGCACUGGAUGCCUAUCUCCACAAACGCCCUCAGGCAUUCUGGCCUAACAUUCCCUGCUAAAUGAGGAUCAACUAAUUCAUCAAUGCUUCCACACUUGUAACAGUGCAUGGCCCAUGUGGCCAACCCAACUUUCUCACUUUCCUCUUCCACUGCCACAGUAUUCACAGCUGCUCUUCCACACAACACCUCAAACAAAACCACUCCAAAUGAAUACACAUCAGAUUUUUGAGUCAGUUUUCUUCUCUUAUAGUACUCAGGGUCUAAAUAUCCAAAAGUACCUUUAACCUCAGUGCUAACAUGUGAAUGGUAAAGUGAGGGAACUGUUCUACACAAUCCAAAAUCUGCAAUCUUGGCUACCCAAUUCUGAUCCAAUAAUAUGUUGGCUGACUUCACAUCACGGUGAAUCACUGGGUGCCUUGUGCUAGUGUGGAGGUAAUGUAGUCCUCUAGCUGCACCAAUACAAAUCUUUAUUCUUUGAAUCCAAGGCAACGGCUGAUUUUUUUUCUUGUAUAAGUGGUCAGACAGAGGACCCUCAGCCAUGUAUUCAUACACCAGUAUCAUUUCAUUUCCCUCUUGGCAGUACCCUAGCAGUGAGACUAGAUUCAUGUGACAGAAUGAGAAAAAAUUGAUCUCAUUUUGAAACUCUUUAUAUCCUUGGCCAGAACUACGAAUAGAGCGCUUUACCGCGACAGCAAUGACUCCAUCAUGAUGCAUGAUGCCUCUGUACACCUUUCCGAAGCCUCCCUCCCCGAUGACAAGAGCUUCACUGAAGUUGCUUGUAGCUAUGCUGAUUUCUGCAAGUGUGAAUUGAUGGCAAAGACCUGAGGUUACUGUGGGUUGAAUGAUUUUGUGAGUACUACUAGAAUUUGAUGGGAGUAACUUCAAUUUUUUCCCUGCUCUGAGGAUAAGAAUGAAAAAUGUGAAGAGCAGUCCCAAGAUGGUACCUAAAGUAGCAACGGCCACAAUAAUGACAUGUUGAACCUUCUUUCUUUGUUCCCUUCUCAAUUGGAACAUUGCUGCCAGACUAUGAUUACUAUCACUUAUCUUCAUAAUCUCAAUUCCAUUCAGUAUGGCGUCAGCAUAUUUUGGUUUUGACUCCAAGUUAGGGUGAAGUGAGAUCCACAAAUCUUUCCUGCUCCCACUUUCCAUAGGAACCAUAACAAUAUAGUCCUUUUGCAAAGGAGUAAAUGGUGCUCCGGCUGAAGCAACUACGUCCAUUCUCUCCUCUGCUGUUUGGUUGUUUAUGUACACUUUGAACACCCUUUGAUUGGGCUGCGUUACCACCGUAGAGAUCUCACAGAAAUGAAGCCUAACAAGGUAUUUGAAUCCAGAAUCAACAGGGAAAGACCAUGUUAAAUUGUACUUCGUGUUAUCAUCUCCACCACUACCCAUUGUCCUGGCAGUCCAAUAUAGCUCUGAUGGUGCUGAAUAAUUGUAAUCCUUUGAAGAAGAAGUGGUGUAAUUCAAAUUUACAGUACGAGACUUUAUAUUGAGGACACUUCCAUAGUGUGAACCAGAUAUGUAUCUAAAAUCAUUUAACCAUAUUCCAAAAGCAUUUUGAGAAUCAACAUCUUCACCAACAUUGCUAACUCUGUAAAACGUCUCUAGAGCAUAUUCAUCAUUAGUCAAUAAAAUUUGCUGGUGCCCAAGGUAAGGAACAGGAACCUUGGAACCCGGAAAGUAUAUACUUUUGGGCACCGGGAAUGUCUCAAUGCCAUUUACAAAAGCAAAUGCUUUGGAAAUUAAAGGAGAUGGAGUAAAUGUAAUGGUCAGUUUGUCUUCCCUAACUUUGACUAAGAAAUCCUUGGUGAAAAACUUCGAGUUGAGCUCUUCUGCAAAAACAGAUGGAUUAAAAUCACUUACAAGAGUGUAGGGCCCCGCUUUUACAGAGAAAUAAGCCUUGUUGGAGGGGUUCAUCUUCAGAUAUAAAGAUGAAAGAAAGUAAAGGCGAAUGAAUUUAAGGCCAGGGGAGGAAGGGAAGGAGUAGGUCAAUGAAGAAUGAGUUAUUCUUGCUGUUGAGAAUGGAACUUUUGGGGCUAGAGAGUCUUCCAUGUUUGAGAGCAAGACUGCAGAUGAGCUCUUGUCAUACUCUGGAGGCAAGAAAUUAGAUCCGCUAUCUCCUAUCCAAUUUUCUCCAUUGAAUGAUGAUGCUUCAUAAGAACCACAGUUUAGGAGGAUUUUGUCCGGGACAUUAAUUGGAUCACAAGUGAUUAAAUGGAUGAAUGGUAAAAACAAAAAGAGGUGCAGUAGUACACAACUAGUGAUACCAUUCCUACUGGACUCUAUCAUGAGGGAUUCCAUCAUGGUGACGCAGGAAUAUGGCGUGAAGGCACAGAUUAUGAGUUCAUCUGUAAAAUUAUGUUAUCUAUAUAGCUAAGGUGUCCUCAAUUUGUUGUGUGGUCUACCUUUUUUGUAUUGAAAGGUCAACAAUGUCUUCUAGCUGGAGACAACCGGUCACCCUUGAAGAGUGAAGAUAUAUUUGGCCUUUGAUUAUCAAUAUAAUAUUUCAAUUUAAGUAUAAAAGCAAUAUUUUAAAAACACCCUAAUUAUACUUAAGUGCUAUCCACAAAUUUUAUCCACUAUGAAUAAUUCUUAGAAAUUGUGAUUAAAUGUAAAGUGGGAAUGACUCCAAGCCCCUUAACUAAUUUUGCUUUGCCUGGUCCACGCGGAGAGUUUCAGUGUUGACAUGUUGCAAUAGACAAUGCAGAAAUGAACUUAUUUUGCAAGGACAUCAAAUCCCUUACAUAAGCUGUGAAGUUAUUGUUCUUAGUUGGAGUAUGCUACACCGACAUGUGUUUUCUAACAUAAAAUUUGACUAAAUAAUCAAAUAUGAAAAUGGAUAAUAUGUUAUGACCUUAAUUAGGUUAGUGCACUUAGCAAUCAGAACAAGUAUGAUAAAAACAAUAAUAUUUUUCACAUUUUGAGUUGUGGUUAAAAAUAGUGAAGUAAUAAUUUUUCUGCCUUUAGAUCAUUACAACUCAAUCUGUAUUUUCAAAUAUUUAAUUAGAUGUUAACCCGUGGGAGGCACGGAUUUUUUGUUGAAAAAUAUUAUAGUCAACUUAAUUAAAAAGAUUUGAAAGGCCUUUUAUCUCAUUGAAAAAUAAAUAAUAUAAAGGUCGUGAAUAUUAUGAAUAAAAAUUUGAGAGUUUACAAUGGUAUAUUUAUAUUUAUCGUCAAAUAAAAUUGAUUUUCAUCACGCAGUUUGUGAGAUCAAACAAUAAAUUUAUUUUUAUUAACAGUCUAGAUAUUUUAAUAUUCAAAGUUUAAAAUAAGUAAACAAGAGAGUAUGACUACUGAGUUUUCUUUAAAUUUGCAAUCAUAUAGUAUCAUUUUUCGACAUAUAUAUUGUUCUUAAAUGGUUGGUAGUUUCUUAAUCUAUUGCAAUGUUAAAGAUGAUUUAAUACUAAAUAUUCAAUGAUCUUUAAUAUAUGGUAAACUAUACUUGACUGAACUAUUUAUUGAUUUGAUGUUGGCCUUACAAUGCAUGCAGAGUUCCCCUUACAUACUAGCACUUGCCAUAAGGCAUUUGUAUGAACCAAUUGGCUGUUAUUUACGGGAAAGUUCAGAACAGAGCUCAGAAUUGCAGCAAAUGCUCCCUCACAUUCAUUUAAGUUUGCUGCAUAUUAAGUAGAAGAUGUAGCAGUGGUAGCACAGUACAAAUUAUUUCUGGUAGUGUCUAACCUCCAUAACAUUUUCACAAAAAUAGGAAUUAGUCCAAGCUUUUGAUUCCUACAACACAUUAUUUGAAAUAGAAAUCUCUUAAUGUCUAUAAGAAUCAAGGCAUUCUUGUUUGGGGAAAGAUCACAGUCACCGACCAAUAGGCAUCAUGAUUUCAGAGAACUCAACCCCAGGUGUCAAAUCUGAAUUACCCUGCAGAACAACAUUAUCACUUCUGCGUUCAUUUCCAUUUGGGACAUUCCCUUCAUUUUUCUGAAGAUGCAUUGCCAGAACAAGAUUCUCUAGCACUUCACCAAUGGAUGGCCUCUCCGCCCCUCUUUCAGCCAAACAUUUCAUUGCAACUCCUAAAUAUAACUCAAAGCACUCCUUAAUUAUGUUUUCUUUCAAGUUGGGGUCAACUAUUUGCUCCACAUUGCCAUUCUCAAGGCACGACAUAGUCCAUUCGGCCAAGUUAACAUGCUCAUCAUCUUCACCUACACUUACAGCAGGCCUUGCAGUCAGAACCUCCAAUAACACCACCCCAAGUGAGUAUAUAUCAGAUUUCUCAGACAACUUGAGGCUUUCAUAGCACUCGGGAUCUAAGUAACCAAUGCUACCCUUCACGUUGGUGGUGACUAAGGAAGGGUAACCUGCCUUUGACAACCCAAAAUCUGAAAUUUUGGGCACCCAGUUGUGAUCUAAGAGUAUGUUGGUUGUCUUGAUGUCGCGGUGGAUGAUCCUGUGCUUUGUGCCAGUGUGAAGGUAGUGCAAGCCCCUUGCAACUCCAAUGCAAAUCUCAAGACGUUGAAUCCAAGACAAAGGGGGUUGAUCUCUCCGCCUCAAAUGAAGAUGAUCAUGAAGACUUCCAUUGGCCAUGAAGUCAUAGACCAAUAUCAUCUCCCCAUCCUCAUUGCAAUAACCCAAAAGUGACACCACGUUAUGAUGCCUAAGUUGUGAGAGCAAAAGGAUCUCUGUCUCGAAUUCUGAAACACCUUGCUUUGACAUUGGAUUGGCACGUUUAAUGGCCACGUAAGUUGUGCCACCAACGAAACUACCCUUGUAAACACUGCCAAAUCCACCAGUGCCUAUAUGUAAAGCCUCAUGGAAGUCAUUUGUCGCCAGUUUUAUCUCUCGCAUCGAAAAUUGAGUGCAAAGUGACGACUUUUUUGCCCUUUCAAUUCGACUAGGUGCGUGGACAGUGAGACCGCACCAUGACACGACCCUUCUAAGCCUAAUCACCUUUAACCUGAAUAAGAGUAAGCAAAGGAAAAUUGGUAGUACCACUGCAAGAAGUCCACAUCCAAUGAGGAUGAAUUUGAGUUUCUUCGGACUUCUAUUAAAAUGAGCAACAUGGGGACCCUUUGCAUCUGAAAAGAAGCUUUUGGGAGGGUUGAGCCCUGCAAGACUCUUAUCAUCAAAAUUGCUGAGUUUAAAGAUCUCCACACCAUUCAAGAAAGCAUUAUAGUACAUAGGUUUAGCAUCCUUGUAUGGGUGCAGAUCAAGCCACAAAUCCUGCUUUCCCUCAUUAACAUGGGGAACCAUCACUACAUAAUCUCUGUGUACAGCAACUCCGGGCUCCCCAGCCCCCAAACCAAUUACAUCGACUUCUUCUUCAGCUGUUUGAUUAUUUAAAAACACGGUAAAAACUACCUGAUUGAUCUUUGUUAUAUCUUGAUCAAUUUCACAGAAGUGAAGCCUAACUAGAUAAAGGAAACCUGAAUCAACGGGAAAAAACCAUGUCAUAUUGUAAUUUAAAUUUACAAGUCCAUAGUCAGAAGGUCCCAUUGAGCGGGAUGUGCGGUAGACAUCUGCUGGGGCUGAAUAUGGUGGAGCAUCAUCUGAAUACAAAACCAGCAUGCUCAUAUUACAGGGUUGAAUACCAAAACUAGCCCCAAAAAUGUAAACUUCAUCGGUGUCCCAAGUCCGAAACAUGCCCGUGUCAUAUUUGGAUGGGAUUUGCUCACCUCCUACUUUCACUCUGUACAAGGUCUCCAUGGCAGAGUCAUUAUAAAUGUUCACAACUUUGUUAUCGUGUCCAACUAAGGGAAGAGGAUCACCAUCAUCACCCCUCAUGUAUAAAUUAAGUGGCAUUGAAACAACUUCAAUCCCAUUCACAAAUGCAAAGGCACGAGAGGCAUUAUAUGAUGGGGAGAAAGUGAGUUGCAAAACACUUCCACUUACAUGCACAAUGAAUUCUUUCUUGAAAUAGGCCAAGUUGUAGUACUCAGCGUUGAGGGAAGCACUGAAGUUAUGGAGAAGAGUGAAGUUAGCAGCACUUACUGAUAAGAAAGCAUUUGAAAUGUUGAGAUCCAUGUAGGAAGCUGGGUAGAAGUGAAGACGAAUGAAUUUGGGACCUGGGGUUACAUUGAAAGUGUAGGUGAAUUGAGAGUGAAAGAUCCUUGCAGUCAUAUAGGGAGCUUCAGGAAUAGAUUGAAGAGUGUUAGGGGCUCUCACUACCAGGGACUUGGUGUCAGCAUUAGAGGGAACAUACGGUGAAACAAUGUCACCACUCCAAUUCCUGCCAUCAUAUUGUACAAAUUCUGAUGUGCUGGAGCCGCAGUUGAGAACUAUGUUCUCUGUAGGAACAUAACUGCCAUUAUCAGCAACUGCAACUAGUUGUAAGUUUAAGAGAUACAAGAUAAAAAUGUACCCAGAGCAUAUGACAGCGUUCAUAAUUCUCUGGAUCAAUCUUGUGUCUCAACGAAGAUAUUUGAGAAUGGAAAAAUAACCAGCUUUAGCACUUUGUCCUAAAUUUCUAAUGCUUUAGUUUGAUUUUUCAACAAAACAUUGCUUUCUUUGUCGUCAGUUUCAACAUUGACCAACUUAGUAAAACUUAUUUUUUUUCCUUAGGCAACUGCAUCCUCCACCAGAUGGUGUUUGACCUUCACCAAUCAACUUUAAAUUUUUUUGUUUUUCAUUCCAAAAUUGAAAAUAAAAAAUUAAAAAAUAUAUACCAGAAAAAAAAUUCUGAAAUAGAUCUUUGUUAAAAAUUCUAGAAUAUAAUUGAAAAAAUAAAAUCUCAUUCCAGAAAAAAAUUUAUAGAAUACAAAAAUAAACUUUAAAAAAUAAAUUCCAGUUAACAAAAUCCAGAAAUUCUAAAAAUUCCAAAAAAUAUUCUGAAAUUCAGAAAUCUGUUCUGGAAAUCAAAAUUUUGAAAUAUAUUCCAAAAUAUCAAAUUUGGAAUGUAUUUUGAUCCACACCCUCUCUAAUUUAAAAACUAAAAAUGAAAUUUUUGGCAUUUAAAAGCUAAAAAUAUAUUCAAACAUCCAGCCAAUAUUACUAGUUUGCUACUACAAUAUUAAUCUGGCAAACGAAUGUAAUAUUAACAUUCUUUGAUGAAUACCAUGCACAUGCUAAAGGAGGAAUUUCAUGAUUUAUGUUUUUCAAAUCUAUGGGUGUAUUGAAUUAAGAUUUUAAAUCACACGUAUGUCAUAUAUUCAAAAAAAACUUCACGAUACAUAAAUUUUUACUUAGACGUGAAUUUGAGUAAAUAAAAUGUUUAUUUUUAUAUACUUUUAAAUUUGUGAAGUAAAUGUUUAAGAGGAUUUUAUCAUGAAACUUUAUUAUAUAUUGAUGUUUGUCUAAAUAUUAUGUCAUUACAUAUUAAUCAGUGUCAUUAUUAUGGUCCAUGUUUUUCAUCCUCCAAUGAUGACUAUAAUGGUCUAUGUCUUGAAAACUAGUUAAGAAGUAAUUCUUGUGUGGUAGUUAUCCUAUCAAUAACUAUGACAAUACUUAGUUUUUUAAACUUAAAAGUCACUCAUAAUUUCUACUCUAUUGUAAAACUUUAUAUUCACGACAAUUGACAUAUAGGAAAAAAAAAAGAAAAUACCAUCGAGUACCAAGGAAUUAAUGAAUUCUCUAUAAAACACAUAUGCUUAGCAAAGUCAACAUAAUUGCCAACAAGUCGUUUCAAAUUUUGAUGAUAACAAUAAUGACAAAUUUUGUAUAUCUAAUGAGUUUGUCAAAUGUGAGUCAACCUAAGAUGUUUCAAUGUCUUAAUACUUACAAUUUUUGUUGCUAAAUGGUCAUUCAUCAUCACACCCUUGUUUAAAUUUGAAGGUCACAUUAAUUUUACUUGUGUUUAUAAUAAUUUCAAUCUGUUUGAUGGUUGAAAAAAAAACCACAUAAUAGUAGCUACUCCAAAGUCAAUGCAGUAGGUCUUCUUGAUGUGUAGUGAUAGUAAUCAAAAUUGAAAUCAAGAAACAAUGAGUUGUCUAAACUUAUUUACAGUGAAUGCUGAAGUAUACAUGUCUAGUAGCUGGAGAAAAUGAGAAGGAAUUGAGACAGUGGUUGAAUCAGUCAAAGCAAAGUGUCA
This 9966-nucleotide long non-coding RNA is filed under the name Phaseolus vulgaris (common bean). Its description in RNAcentral is "long non-coding RNA (PVUL_LNC003788)". The record is from RNAcentral. Lineage: Eukaryota; Viridiplantae; Streptophyta; Magnoliopsida; Fabales; Fabaceae.